RNAcentral lists this unclassified non-coding RNA (2358 nucleotides) under Hevea brasiliensis (rubber tree). Lineage: Eukaryota; Viridiplantae; Streptophyta; Magnoliopsida; Malpighiales; Euphorbiaceae. The record is from RNAcentral.
AAGGCUGCUAGACUCCAGGCUGCCAAAGAGGCAGCUCCAGUCAAAGUAGAAAUUUUAGAAGUUGGGGAAAAAGGUAUGUUGAUUGAGGAAUUAGCCUACAACUUGGCCAUCAGUGAAGGUGAAAUUCUUGGGUAUCUGUACUCAAAGGGGAUUAGACCUGAUGGGGUGCAAACUCUGGACAAGAACAUGGUAAAGAUGGUAUGCAAGGAGUAUGAUGUGGAGGUCAUAGAUGCUGCUCCUGUUAGAUUUGAAGAAAUGGCAAGAAAAAGGGAAAUUCUUGAUGAAGAUGAUCUGGACAAACUGGAAGAGAGGCCUCCUGUCCUAACUAUAAUGGGGCAUGUGGAUCAUGGCAAGACGACCUUAUUGGAUUACAUUCGUAAAAGCAGGUUGGCUUCCUCAGAAGCUGGUGGGAUUACACAAGGAAUUGGAGCAUAUAAAGUUCUGAUACCUGUUGAUGGGAAGUUACAACCUUGUGUUUUUCUUGAUACUCCUGGCCAUGAGGCAUUUGGAGCAAAGUUCUGGUACCUGUUGAUGGGAAGUUGCAACCUUGUGUUUUCCUUGAUACUCCUGGGCAUGAGGCAUUUGGUGCAAUGAGAGCUCGUGGGGCAAGGGUGACAGAUAUUGCAAUUAUUGUGGUGGCUGCUGAUGAUGGGAUUCGUCCUCAGACAAACGAGGCCAUAGCUCAUGCCAAAGCGGCCGGAGUUCCGAUUGUAAUUGCUAUAAAUAAGAUAGAUAAAGAUGGAGCUAAUCCAGAAAGAGUCAUGCAAGACCUUUCUUCAAUUGGUCUCAUGCCAGAAGACUGGGGUGGUGACAUCCCAAUGGUUCAGAUCAGUGCUCUCAAGGGGGAUAACAUAGAUGAUUUGUUAGAAACUGUUAUGCUUGUUGCUGAGUUACAAGAGUUGAAGGCUAAUCCUCACAGAAAUGCGAAGGGUACUGUUAUUGAGGCAGGUCUUCAUAAAUCUAAAGGACCAGUAGCUACAUUUAUUGUACAGAAUGGCACACUUAAAAGAGGGGAUGUAGUGGUUUGUGGAGAAGCCUUUGGCAAGGUGCGAGCUUUAUUUGAUGAUAGUGGAAACCGAGUUGAUGAAGCUGGGCCAUCUAUUCCUAUACAGGUUAUUGGAUUGAGUAACGUACCAAUUGCUGGUGACGAAUUCGAAGUUGUUGCCUCCCUUGAUAUUGCACGUGAAAAGGCUGAAGCACGUGCGGAAUUAUUGCGUAAUGAGCGUAUAUCGGCCAAGGCUGGGGAUGGAAAGGUCACACUUUCUUCUUUAGCAUCUGCUGUUUCAUCAGGAACGUUGUCUGGAUUAGAUUUGCACCAGCUAAAUAUUAUAAUGAAAGUUGAUGUUCAGGGAUCGAUUGAAGCUGUCAGACAAGCCUUACAGGUGCUCCCCCAAGAUAACGUCACCUUGAAGUUCCUCUUGCAAGCAACAGGAGAUGUAAGCACUAGUGAUGUUGAUCUUGCCAUUGCCAGUGAAGCUAUUAUUUUGGGAUUUAAUGUCAAAGCGCCAGGUUCUGUCAAGAGCUAUGCAGAAAACAAAGGUGUUGAGAUUCGGCUAUAUAGAGUGAUCUAUGAUCUCAUUGAUGAUGUACGAAAUGCAAUGGAAGGACUUCUGGAACCUGUUGAGGAACAAGAAACAAUUGGCUCAGCAGAAGUCCGGGCUGUGUUUGGCAGUGGCAGUGGCCGUGUUGCUGGAUGCAUGGUAACAGAUGGGAAAGUAAUGAAAGGCUGUGGCAUUAAAGUCAUUCGAAAUAAAAAGAUAGUCCAUGUUGGUGUUCUUGAUUCUCUGAGACGAGUUAAGGAAAUUGUGAAAGAGGUAAAUGCUGGGCUAGAGUGCGGCAUUGGAAUGGAAAACUACGAUGAUUGGGAGGAAGGAGAUAUUAUCGAGGCCUUCAACACGGUUGAGAAGAAGCGGACCCUUGAAGAGGCAUCAGCUUCAAUGGCAGCUGCACUGGAAGAAGCAGGAAUUAACUUGUAGAAGAACAUACAUGUAGCUUUAAAAUUGGCAAAUUUGCUUUCCCUGAUGGAUUGAAAAAAAAAAAAAAAGAAGAAGAAAAAGAAAAGAAAAGCAAAGAAUUCUUGUUAAAACAACUAAUGAAACCAGUGCUCUCAACAGGAGGAAUAUAUAAAUGGGUUGGCGUUGGCGUGCAAUUUAUUUCAAAGUGCCAGGUGCUUCGGAGUCUGAGGUCUGAGCUUGCAUUGAUUUUGUCCAUUGUUGUAUUCUAUUUGAAUGUAUAUAUCGAUAUCACAUCUUAGCUUCUUUAUGUAAAGAAGGAACAAUCUUACAAGUUCCUCAACGAUUAUAUGCCUCAAAAAUACUUUUGUAAUGUCAUCGUUGAGGAACUUGUAAGAUUGUUCCU